RNAcentral lists this ribosomal RNA (114 nucleotides) under Sphenodon punctatus (tuatara). Lineage: Eukaryota; Metazoa; Chordata; Lepidosauria; Sphenodontia; Sphenodontidae. The record is from RNAcentral.
GCUUGCAUUUAUACAACCUUAGGCUGUGAUCUCAUCAAAUCUCAAGCUAAGCAGGUCAGGUCUGGUUAAUACUCGGAUGGGAGACAUGCAAGGAAAAACAUAGCUUUGCAGGAA